This 119-nucleotide ribosomal RNA is filed under the name Beta vulgaris subsp. vulgaris (sugar beet). Lineage: Eukaryota; Viridiplantae; Streptophyta; Magnoliopsida; Caryophyllales; Amaranthaceae. The record is from RNAcentral.
GGAUGCGAUCAUACCUGCACUAAUGCACCGGAUCCAAUGAGAACUCCGCAGUUAAGCGUGCUUGGGCGAGAGAAGUACUAGGAUGGGUGACCUCCUGGGAAGUCCUCGUGUUGCACCCC